Molecule: ribosomal RNA, 460 nt
Filed under: uncultured bacterium
Lineage: Bacteria
Description: partial 16S ribosomal RNA
Rfam family: Bacterial small subunit ribosomal RNA
Source: RNAcentral
CCUACGGGAGGCAGCAGUGAGGAAUAUUGGUCAAUGGGCGUAAGCCUGAACCAGCCAAGUCGCGUGAGGGAUGAAGGUUCUAUGGAUCGUAAACCUCUUUUAUAAGGGAAUAAAGUGCGGGACGUGUCCCGUUUUGUAUGUACCUUAUGAAUAAGGAUCGGCUAACUCCGUGCCAGCAGCCGCGGUAAUACGGAGGAUCCGAGCGUUAUCCGGAUUUAUUGGGUGUAAAGGGUGCGUAGGCGGCCUUUUAAGUCAGCGGUGAAAUUCUGUGGCUCAACCAUAGAAUUGUCGUUGAAACUGGGAGGCUUGAGUAUGUUAGAGGCUGGCGGAAUGCGUGGUGUAGCGGUGAAAUGCUUAGAUAUCACGCAGAACCCCGAUUGCGAAGGCAGCCUGCCAAGCCAUGACUGACGCUGAUGCACGAAAGCGUGGGGAUCAAACAGGAUUAGAUACCCCUGUAGUC